GACGAACGCUGGCGGCGUGCUUAACACAUGCAAGUCGAACGGAAAGGCCCUGCUUUUGUGGGGUGCUCGAGUGGCGAACGGGUGAGUAACACGUGAGUAACCUGCCCUUGACUUUGGGAUAACUUCAGGAAACUGGGGCUAAUACCGGAUAGGAGCUCCUGCUGCAUGGUGGGGGUUGGAAAGUUUCGGCGGUUGGGGAUGGACUCGCGGCUUAUCAGCUUGUUGGUGGGGUAGUGGCUUACCAAGGCUUUGACGGGUAGCCGGCCUGAGAGGGUGACCGGCGACAUUGGGACUGAGAUACGGCCCAGACUCCUACGGGAGGCAGCAGUGGGGAAUAUUGCACAAUGGGCGGAAGGCUGAUGCAGCAACGCCGCGUGCGGGAUGACGGCCUUCGGGUUGUAAACCGCUUUCGCCUGUGACGAAGCGUGAGUGACGGUAAUGGGUAAAGAAGCACCGGCUAACUACGUG
Molecule: ribosomal RNA, 468 nt
Filed under: uncultured bacterium
Lineage: Bacteria
Description: partial 16S ribosomal RNA
Rfam family: Bacterial small subunit ribosomal RNA
Source: RNAcentral